AUACGUAGGUGGCGAGCGUUAUCCGGAUUUACUGGGUGUAAAGGGCGCGUAGGCGGGGAUGCAAGUCAGAUGUGAAAUCUAUGGGCUCAACUCAUAAACUGCAUUUGAAACUGUAUUUCUUGAGUACUGGAGAGGUAGACGGAAUUCCUUGUGUAGCGGUGAAAUGCGUAGAUAUAAGGAAGAACACCAGUGGCGAAGGCGGUCUACUGGACAGCAACUGACGCUGAGGCGCGAAAGCGUGGGGAGCAAACAGGAUUAGAUACCCUGGUAGUCCACGCUGUAAACGAUGAAUACUAGGUGUGGGGAGACUGACCCUUUCCGUGCCGCAGUUAACACAAUAAGUAUUCCACCUGGGGAGUACGGCCGCAAGGUUGAAACUCAAAUGAAUUGGCGGGG
RNAcentral lists this ribosomal RNA (396 nucleotides) under uncultured bacterium. RNAcentral describes it as "partial 16S ribosomal RNA". It matches the Rfam family "Bacterial small subunit ribosomal RNA", at positions 523 to 918 of the family's 1533-position model. The record is from RNAcentral.